GACGAACGCUGGCGGCGUGCCUAAUACAUGCAAGUUGAGCGGUGAAGGUUGGUUCUUGUGCCGGAUGGAUGAGCAGCGAACGGGUACGUACCGUGUGGGGAAUCUGAAUUUGAGCGGGGGACAACAUUUGGCACCGAAUGCUAAUACCGCAUAAAAACUUUCAACACAAGUUUUACGUUUGACAGAUGCACUUGCAUCACACACAGAUGAUCCCCCGUUGUAUUAGCUAGUUGGUGGGGUAAAGGCUAACCAAGGCGAUGAUACAUAGCCGACCUGAGAGGUGGAUCGGCCGCAUUGGGGCGGAGACGCUGCCCAAACUCCGACGUGAGGCAGCGGUAAGGAAUCUUCGGCAAGGGACGGAAGGCUAACCGAGCAACUCCGCGAAAGUGAAGAAGGUCUUCGGAUCGUAAAACUCGAUGGGUAGAGAAGAGCGAUGUGGUGAGUGGAAAGCUCAUCAAGUGACGGUAACUACCCAGAAAGCAACGGCUAACUACGUG
Molecule: ribosomal RNA, 497 nt
Filed under: uncultured bacterium
Lineage: Bacteria
Description: partial 16S ribosomal RNA
Rfam family: Bacterial small subunit ribosomal RNA
Source: RNAcentral